Molecule: ribosomal RNA, 620 nt
Filed under: Rhodotorula mucilaginosa
Lineage: Eukaryota; Fungi; Basidiomycota; Microbotryomycetes; Sporidiobolales; Sporidiobolaceae
Description: eukaryotic LSU rRNA
Rfam family: 5.8S ribosomal RNA (bases 183-336)
Source: RNAcentral
CGGAAAGGGGACCUGCGGAAGGAUCAUUAGUGAAUAUAGGACGUCCAACUUAACUUGGAGUCCGAACUCUCACUUUCUAACCCUGUGCACUUGUUUGGGAUAGUAACUCUCGCAAGAGAGCGAACUCCUAUUCACUUAUAAACACAAAGUCUAUGAAUGUAUUAAAUUUUAUAACAAAAUAAAACUUUCAACAACGGAUCUCUUGGCUCUCGCAUCGAUGAAGAACGCAGCGAAAUGCGAUAAGUAAUGUGAAUUGCAGAAUUCAGUGAAUCAUCGAAUCUUUGAACGCACCUUGCGCUCCAUGGUAUUCCGUGGAGCAUGCCUGUUUGAGUGUCAUGAAUACUUCAACCCUCCUCUUUCUUAAUGAUUGAAGAGGUGUUUGGUUUCUGAGCGCUGCUGGCCUUUACGGUCUAGCUCGUUCGUAAUGCAUUAGCAUCCGCAAUCGAACUUCGGAUUGACUUGGCGUAAUAGACUAUUCGCUGAGGAAUUCUAGUCUUCGGACUAGAGCCGGGUUGGGUUAAAGGAAGCUUCUAAUCAGAAUGUCUACAUUUUAAGAUUAGAUCUCAAAUCAGGUAGGACUACCCGCUGAACUUAAGCAUAUCAAUAAGCCGGAGGAAAGG